RNAcentral lists this transfer RNA (76 nucleotides) under Methylovulum psychrotolerans. RNAcentral's name for it is "tRNA-Ile". It matches the Rfam family "tRNA". From Rfam's summary of the family: Transfer RNA (tRNA) molecules are approximately 80 nucleotides in length. Their secondary structure includes four short double-helical elements and three loops (D, anti-codon, and T loops). Further hydrogen bonds mediate the characteristic L-shaped molecular structure. tRNAs have two regions of fundamental functional importance: the anti-codon, which is responsible for specific mRNA codon recognition, and the 3' end, to which the tRNAs corresponding amino acid is attached (by aminoacyl-tRNA synthetases). tRNAs cope with the degeneracy of the genetic code in two manners: having more than one tRNA (with a specific anti-codon) for a particular amino acid; and 'wobble' base-pairing, i.e. permitting non-standard base-pairing at the 3rd anti-codon position. Lineage: Bacteria; Pseudomonadati; Pseudomonadota; Gammaproteobacteria; Methylococcales; Methylococcaceae. The record is from RNAcentral.
GGGCCUGUAGCUCAGUUGGUUAGAGGCACCCCUGAUAAGGGUGAGGUCGGAGGUUCAAAUCCUCCCAGGCCCACCA